CCUACGGGGGGCAGCAGUGAGGAAUAUUGGUCAAUGGACGAGAGUCUGAACCAGCCAAGUAGCGUGAAGGAUGACUGCCCUAUGGGUUGUAAACUUCUUUUAUAUGGGAAUAAAACGUUCCACGUGUGGGAUUUUGUAUGUACCAUAUGAAUAAGGAUCGGCUAACUCCGUGCCAGCAGCCGCGGUAAUACGGAGGAUCCGAGCGUUAUCCGGAUUUAUUGGGGUUAAAGGGAGCGUAGGUGGAUUGUUAAGUCAGUUGUGAAAGUUUGCGGCUCAACCGUAAAAUUGCAGUUGAAACUGGCAGUCUUGAGUACAGUAGAGGUGGGCGGAAUUCGUGGUGUAGCGGUGAAAUGCUUAGAUAUCACGAAGAACUCCGAUUGCGAAGGCAGUUCACUGGACUGCAACUGACACUGAGGCUCGAAAGUGUGGGUAUCAAACAGGAUUAGAUACCCUUGUAGUC
This 460-nucleotide ribosomal RNA is filed under the name uncultured bacterium. Its description in RNAcentral is "partial 16S ribosomal RNA". It matches the Rfam family "Bacterial small subunit ribosomal RNA", at positions 338 to 795 of the family's 1533-position model. The record is from RNAcentral.